CAGAGAACCCGUCAUUUCCCAGAUUCCUCAGCUUUAAUGCUACUGCUGAUCUCUCUUCAUACCUGCUAGACCUUUUUGUUUGUUUUUGUUUUAAAGGAGGUGGGCAGGUUUGAAAUGACCUCCAGUAGGUGAGCCAAACAACCCUGAAUAAUUGUUUUUCCUCACUGAUUAUUUACAAACUCUGGCUGACCAUCAAACCAUUUUCCCUCCCACAACUGGUCUAUUUUUGCAGUCCCUUCCACAUUAUCCAAAUCGAAGAAAUGAAGUGAAUCAGCUACAUGCCAUAAAGAACACCGAUUAAAUUUCAGAACUACUCCAAGGUAAAUUUUGCACUUUAAGGCUAUGCUUUGGAGACCAUAAUAACAUAAACAGCAUUAAAGAACUGGAACUAAUUGAUGUCAAGACCAAAACUGAUGCCAGAGGACUGAUGGAGAAAUCACCUUCUCUCUUUUGGGGAGAAACAUGCUGAACUAUGGGGAUGGAAUGGACCAUCCAUCAUCAGACAUCAUCACUGGGCUCAUUUGUUUGGUUUAAUUUCAUUGUUAUGAGGGAAGAAUCUAUGGUGACUGUGCCAUUUGGAAGAAACAGAGCUAUAAAAGAGCAUCAGUCAUUGUUCUUAAAGAUUCUGUACAUUGAUCUAGGUACUAGCACAAAAGGAUCCCUCCAAGGCCAGUCCAGAAGGCAACUUCCUAAGCACCUCCAUGGGCACAAAUGGGCCUUUGCUGGCCAAUGGAUUGACUUUGGAGUCAGGGACACCUGGGUUCAGGUUCUGUCUUGGUCAGGCUUGGAGACUUUGGCCCAAACAAGUAACCCCUCAAUGCACCAUUCCAGAAGAGUCUCCAGAUGUCACAUUCCUCAUCUGUAUAUUAAAGAGAAUGG
Molecule: long non-coding RNA, 879 nt
Filed under: Monodelphis domestica (gray short-tailed opossum)
Lineage: Eukaryota; Metazoa; Chordata; Mammalia; Didelphimorphia; Didelphidae
Description: lncRNA (ENSMODG00000039839.1)
Source: RNAcentral